UGGGGUGUCGUCUAAUGGUAGGACACCGGGUUUUGGUCCCGGCAGUCGGGGUUCGACUCCCUGCGCCCCAGCAA
RNAcentral lists this transfer RNA (74 nucleotides) under Fidelibacterota bacterium. Its description in RNAcentral is "tRNA-Gln". It matches the Rfam family "tRNA". Rfam says of the family: Transfer RNA (tRNA) molecules are approximately 80 nucleotides in length. Their secondary structure includes four short double-helical elements and three loops (D, anti-codon, and T loops). Further hydrogen bonds mediate the characteristic L-shaped molecular structure. tRNAs have two regions of fundamental functional importance: the anti-codon, which is responsible for specific mRNA codon recognition, and the 3' end, to which the tRNAs corresponding amino acid is attached (by aminoacyl-tRNA synthetases). tRNAs cope with the degeneracy of the genetic code in two manners: having more than one tRNA (with a specific anti-codon) for a particular amino acid; and 'wobble' base-pairing, i.e. permitting non-standard base-pairing at the 3rd anti-codon position. The record is from RNAcentral. Lineage: Bacteria; Pseudomonadati; Fidelibacterota.